RNAcentral lists this ribosomal RNA (340 nucleotides) under uncultured bacterium. RNAcentral's name for it is "bacterial SSU rRNA". It matches the Rfam family "Bacterial small subunit ribosomal RNA", at positions 509 to 849 of the family's 1533-position model. The record is from RNAcentral.
CAGCAGCCGCGGUAAUACGUAGGGGGCAAGCGUUGUCCGGAUUUACUGGGUGUAAAGGGUGCUCAGGUGGAUUUAUAAGUCAGAGGUGAAAAUCCGAAGCUUAACUUCGGAACUGCCUUUGAUACUGUAAGUCUAGAGUUUGAGAGAGGGCAAUGGAAUAUCUGGUGUAGCAGUGAAAUGCGUAGAUAUCAGAUAGAACACCAAUGGCGAAGGCAGUUGCCUGGCUCAAUACUGACACUAAAGCACGAAAGUGUGGGGAGCAAACAGGAUUAGAUACCCUGGUAGUCCACACCCUAAACGAUGAAUACUAGAUGUUGGUCUUUUUAAAGAUCAGUAUCUU